AUAGAGUUUCGAUACUGACAGUGAAUAUCGGAACGCAGCCGAAUUGUUCGGUUGGGCGUGUUUCUCUGGCACUGAUUAAGACUAUUUCAUCUAAGUUACGAACACGAGAAAAAACGAAACACAGUGAAAGAAGAAAGGCUAAAAUACACACUGAAUUAUAUUAAAAGCCUUUAAUGGCAACUAUGAUCGGAAUUGACCGAAAAAAAUAGACAGUGUUUAUAUAUACAUUUUUCGGGAGCAGCUAUUAAAUUCUCCAAACAAUGAUCAUUAUCUGCUGGUUAUAUUGCCUAUUAGGCAUUGUAGUUGGUCAGUAUGAAUGGCAAACUCGUGAUUCUUUUGAUGAAAUCCGCAUGCGGAUGGAUAAAGUGAACGAAGAUAAUUGUCCAAUACAGCAUCUUGGCGAUCUAUAUUUGCCAGAUGAUACAAUAUCGCAUUUACCUGAUAUAAAAGACAUCAAUAUCAAUCCAGUAUUUCCAAAUCGUACAGCUUUGCUACAUCUUCACAACAUGGCACUCAGCAGGAGUUUUUUUUGGAGUUAUAUUUUGCAGUCACGCUUUAUUCGACCGGCAAUCAAUGAUACUUAUGAUCCAGGCAUGAUGUAUUACUUCCUCUCUACAGUUGCAGACGUUUCUGCCAAUCCAUAUAUCAAUGCCUCAGCUAUCUAUUUCUCACCCAAUAUGUCUUAUUCACCAUCCUACAGAGGUUUCUUCAAUAAAACUUUUCCUAGAUUUGCACCACGGACUUUUAGAGCAGAUGACUUCAAUGAUCCUAUACAUCUGGAGAGAAUAUCCACAAGAAAUACCUUCACUAUACAAGAUUUAGGAGCGUUUCCUGUUACUAGACUUAGUGAUGAUUAUACUACUGAUUUUUAUCGUAUAAAUGAAUGGUACAAAAGAUGGUUACCAGAUAAUGUAGAGAAAAGACAUGACACUAAAACAACAUAUCAAGUUGAAAUUCGUUAUGCCAACAAUACCAAUGAAACAUAUACUUUUCAUGGUCCACCUGGUGCUGAUGAAUAUCCUGGACCAGUGAAAUGGACUAGACCAUAUUUUGAUUGUGGUCGAUCAAAUCGGUGGCUUGUAGCUGCAAUAUCACCUGUAGCGGAUAUUUAUCCACGGCACACUGGUUUCAGGCAUAUUGAAUAUCCAACAUAUACUGCUGUUUCAGUGAUGGAAAUGGACUUUGACAGAAUAGAUAUAAAUCAAUGCCCCAAAGGGCGUGGGAAUGAUGGUCCCAAUAAAUUUGCUAAUACUGCAAGAUGCAAGACUGAUACUACAGAGUGCGAACCAAUACAUGGUUGGGGUUUCAGAAGAGGCGGGUAUCAAUGUAGAUGUAAACCGGGUUAUAGAUUACCGACUGUUGUACGACGACCUUAUCUCGGUGAAAUACUAGAGAGAGCUACUCAAGAACAAUAUUAUAAUGGUUUUGAUUGCCAACGAAUUGGCUGGAUUCAUAAAAUGCCAGUACAAUGGGAGAAGGCAAAACCAUAUAUCAGAAAAAAAUAUCUCGAGCAGUAUCAUCAUUAUAAGAAUUAUUCGACUGGUCCAGAUGCGCUUCAUGAUAUAAGGAUGAACAUAGACCAAGCUCUCAAAUUUGUUUUGGGUAUGAAUUCGCACACUUGCAAAAAUUAUACAUCAGAAGAAUUAAUGUUACGCGGAGACAUUAGCUUUGGCGCAGAAGAAUUCUUCGAAAACGAAGCGAAAAUGGCAACCAGAUUGGCAAAUUUUAUCAGCGCGUUCCUACAAGUAUCAGAUCCUUUAGAAGUUUACUCGGGUAAAAGAGUAGCCGACAGACCACUCACAGAAGACCAAAUGAUGGGAGAAACACUAGCUCUAGUACUUGGUGAUACAAAAAUAUGGUCAGCUGGCACAUUUUGGGAUCGUAAUAAAUUUACUAACAGAACAUUCUUUGCCCCGUUCGCUUACAAAAAACAAUUAAAUACGCGCAAAUUUAAACUUGAUGAUUUGGCUAGACUAAGUGACACAGAUGAAGUAUACACAAAAAAAAGUUACUUUAAAGCUUUAAAACAACGUUGGGCGACGAAUUUUGAUCAAUUGGAAAAGUACUAUAUGAAGAUAAAAAUUCGAUUUAAUGAAACUGGAGAAUAUUUAAAAAAGUUCGAACAUUAUCCAAAUUAUUACAGGGCAGCAAACCUGGACCAUGGACAUUGGACAACUCCAUAUUUCGAUUGUAAGGGUGAGAUACAAAAAUGGUUAAUUACCUAUGCAUCCCCAUUUUUCGGCUGGGAUAGCUUAAAAGAGAAACUAGAAUUUAAUUGCAGGUCAGUUGACGUCAACUAAUGCCCAAUAGCGAUUAUAGCCGUUAGUGACUUGCAUCACUUUCUCCAGACGUUUCGCUACCACGGCGCUCGUAAUAUCAUUAGCAAAGCCAACCGCCAUUAUACUUUCCGGUAAAUAGAGUUUUGAUACACCAUCGUACAUAAUGUUCUAUAAUAAUAGGUCUAGCAUUGAAUCCUGUGGCACUCCACAGGUUAUCUCAUAGCUCUUCAUGCCAUUAUUCGUACAAUACAUCAAUACUUUGUUUUUGAAGUAAUCAGAGAUGAUUCCCCUGACGUACAAUGAUAUGUCGAAGCAUUCCAACGCCUCAAAUAUGUAGCUCCAUCUCGUCGAGUUGAAAGCAUUUUUUACGUCCAAAGUCAUCACAGCGCAGUACUUUUUGGCUUCUCUCUCUCAUUAUUUGCCUUCAAAUGCCUUACAAGUUGUGUCGAUGACAAGAAUUAUCUGCAUCUGGAUCUCUUUAUUGAGGUAUUUAUGUUUGCGGGAGGGCGUUUAUCCUAGACAAUAAAGAGGCAAUGUCUGAUUCUGUCUAAGAAUAGUAGACCACAAGUAAUCGCGUCAUCCUAUCGACUGAUCUUGCUGGACACGGCUGGGAAGCUUCUCGAGAGCAUCAUCAGCAACAGACUGCAAGAGUGCAUUAGUGGAAGGGGUGACCUGGCUAAAAACUAGUUUGGCUUUCGAAAGGCCCGCUCAACGAUGAACACCGUUGUCCUUGAUUUCUACCUGUACUUUGUUAGUCAGCAUUCUUAUUUUAGCCAUUUGUCUCAAGAUAUUUUCCACAGAUGACUUUAAUUUUGAUAUUAGUUCAGAUACAUGUGCGAUUCAAUUGCAAUAGUAGAUUCAAUGUAGAUCACAAUGUUUCUCCGGACUUUGAAAAUAUUUGAUCCAAGCUCCUCUAGUGAUGUCUCAGCUUUUAUUCUCCUUAGGAUAUCUACAUAAGACUGCUUAGCUUUAAUAAUUAAGGCGAUUUGAGACGCGAUUUCCUUCGCUUCAUUUACUUUUCCAUCACCUGCCCUUUCUACUGCUCCUGCGGCCUUUUCGAUAUCGCGGGCUCUUGAGGCGUUACUGACAAGAAUGGAGAUUCUGUCCUUACCUUGGGCUCUUUCCCUUUUCUUUUUUAGCACUAGAUGGUGGAAUCCGAAUUUUCUUCUUCGGAGUAAGAGUAUUCUUCAUUUCCGAGUCUACUCUCAGCCUUAGUUUUGAGUUUCGCAGAUACCUGCGGUAUCUUCCACCUUGAAAAACACUUUAUAACAGAUGCUAAUAGCACUUACGAGCCGCUUAAUCUCGCUGUGUACGUUGCUAUGAGGUUUAAUUCCAGGAGCUCAGAUAUCUUCUUUCUAAGCUUUUCUAGCGUCUCUUUGCUGUUUCUUGUGUGUUAUAAUAUUAGCUGUUGCAGCGACUAAACUCACUAUCACCGGUACCGCACAGCAAUCGUCAGAUAACAACGCCCUAGAACCUGCUUACUCACUUCUUAAUAAACGCUCAUAAAAUAAUGAGGAUUCGACUUCCUGCACCAUAAAAUUUUUCCUCGCUAGGCUACUCUCCAUGUUUGGUUUAUAGUCGGAGUAUCCUACUGUCCGCUGCAGACGGUUGCUUAUUCCUUGAAUUCCUAACUUAUUUCACAGCAAUCUCUUAUCGCAACGAAUCGAGAUUUCCCCCAUCCGCACUCGGUAGCCAGGAAAAAUGCGUGCAUGCAGGUGUUGUAGCAGUUACCAUGAAUAUGCUUCAAGUAGAUAUAAAUCAAUG
This 4043-nucleotide unclassified non-coding RNA is filed under the name Pogonomyrmex barbatus (red harvester ant). RNAcentral describes it as "uncharacterized LOC105429447, transcript variant X2". The record is from RNAcentral. Lineage: Eukaryota; Metazoa; Arthropoda; Insecta; Hymenoptera; Formicidae.